Molecule: ribosomal RNA, 445 nt
Filed under: uncultured Leptolinea sp.
Lineage: Bacteria; Bacillati; Chloroflexota; Anaerolineae; Anaerolineales; Anaerolineaceae
Description: bacterial SSU rRNA
Rfam family: Bacterial small subunit ribosomal RNA
Source: RNAcentral
GCACAAGCAGCGGAGCGUGUGGUUAAUUCGAUGAUACACGAAGAACCUUACCCAGGCUUGACAUGCAGGUAUCGGGGUUUCGAAAGUAGGCCCCACCUCGGGAGGCCUGCACAGGUGCUGCAUGGCUGUCGUCAGCUCGUGUCGUGAGAUGUCCGGUUAAGUCCGGUAACGAACGCAACCCUCGCUGUGUGUUAUAUGUGUCACACGGGACUGCCGGUCUUAAGCCGGAGGAAGGUGGGGAUGAUGUCAAGUCAGCAUGGCCUUUAUAUCCUGGGCUACACACACGCUACAAUGGCCAACACAAUAGGUUGCUAAGCCGCGAGGUGGCGCCAAUCCCAAAAAGCCGCUCUCAGUUCGGAUUGCAGGCUGCAACUCGCCUGCAUGAAGCCGGAAUCGCUAGUAAUCGCGGAUCAGCAUGCCCGCGGUCCGAAUACGUUCCGGCCUU